RNAcentral lists this ribosomal RNA (249 nucleotides) under uncultured bacterium. RNAcentral describes it as "partial 16S ribosomal RNA". It matches the Rfam family "Bacterial small subunit ribosomal RNA", at positions 523 to 769 of the family's 1533-position model. The record is from RNAcentral.
AUACGGAGGAUCCGAGCGUUAUCCGGAUUUAUUGGGUUUAAAGGGUGCGCAGGCGGGAUGUUAAGUCGGCGGUGAAAUUUUGCAGCUCAACUGUAAAAGUCCGCCUUCGAUACUGGCUUUCUUGAGUGUGGAUGAAGUAGGCGGAAUUUGUGGUGUAGCGGUGAAAUGCUUAGAUAUCACGAGGAACUCCGAUUGCGCAGGCAGCUUACUAAACCACUACUGACGCUCAUGCACGAAGGCGUGGGGAUC